AGUGAACGCUGGCGGUAGGCCUAACACAUGCAAGUCGAACGGCAGCACAGUAAGAGCUUGCUCUUACGGGUGGCGAGUGGCGGACGGGUGAGGAAGACAUCGGAAUCUACUUUUUCGCGGGGGAUAACGUAGGGAAACUUACGCUAAUACCGCAUACGACCUACGGGUGAAAGCAGGGGAUCUUCGGACCUUGCGCGAUUGAAUGAGCCGAUGUCGGAUUAGCUAGUUGGCGGGGUAAAGGCCCACCAAGGCGACGAUCCGUAGCUGGUCUGAGAGGAUGAUCCACCACAUUGGAACUGAGACCCGUUCCACACUCCUACGGGAGGCAGCAGUGGGGAAUAUUGCACAAGGGGCGCAAGCCUGAUCCAGCCAAACCGCGUGGGUGAAGAAGGCCUUCGGGUUCUAAAGCCCUUUUGUUGGGAAAGAAAAGCAGCACGUUAACCCCCCGCUGUUCUGACGGUACCCAAAGAAUAAGCCCCGGCUAACUUCGUG
Molecule: ribosomal RNA, 492 nt
Filed under: uncultured bacterium
Lineage: Bacteria
Description: partial 16S ribosomal RNA
Rfam family: Bacterial small subunit ribosomal RNA
Source: RNAcentral